GGCCCCAUCGUCUAGUGGCCUAGGACGUCAGGUUCUCAACCUGAAAACACGGGUUCGAUUCCCGUUAGGGCCACCA
This 76-nucleotide transfer RNA is filed under the name bacterium. Its description in RNAcentral is "tRNA-Glu". It matches the Rfam family "tRNA". Rfam says of the family: Transfer RNA (tRNA) molecules are approximately 80 nucleotides in length. Their secondary structure includes four short double-helical elements and three loops (D, anti-codon, and T loops). The record is from RNAcentral.